Haplochromis burtoni (Burton's mouthbrooder) is the source of this 662-nucleotide long non-coding RNA. RefSeq lists it as uncharacterized. The record is from RefSeq and is a predicted model, not a curated record. The transcript is spliced from 3 exons. NCBI's taxonomy places the organism in Eukaryota, Metazoa, Chordata, Actinopteri, Cichliformes, Cichlidae.
AUUCAACCAAAACAAACAUGUCCGUCAUACAAGCAGUUCAUGAAGUACAAAAAAUCAAAAUCCAAAGAGCGUCAGGCCUUCAGCUGUGGAGCAAAAUUAAAACUCAAGCAACAGAGUAAACAUGUCAAGGUAAGCCAUCACAGGUAAAUUUAUAAACGAGGAUUUAGCAAUUAUUCUUAAAGUUAUCUUGCUUGUAUUAUUUGUUUCUAGAUCAAUAUAGGAAUAAUGGUGUCACAACAAACGGACUUAAAACCGCUAAGAGGGAAAACACUGCCCUUAUUUAUUAGCCCCGAAAUUACAGCCCCUGACCUCCUGAAGCAGGCUGUAGAAAAAAUGAUAGCAUUCAACAAGGACUUGGUGGAGGGACCAUAUGUCCUUUUGUAUCCCGACUGCACAGAGGUGAUAAAUUUGCCUGGGACAGAAGGGCCAUUCUGACUGGCAGACUACAAAGAGGAAAUAGGAAAGAACUACAACAGGAUUUCUCUUUUCAUUUGCCCAGAGAGCCACUUCAAACAAGCUCUGAUUGCAGAGGAUGGUACCUCAGACUCAGACCCUUUGAUUGUGAUUACAUCAAGAAGCACAGCUGAGUUCAACCAGGCAGACACAUUGGUUUUCAAACCACAAGACCAGAGUACCCCUAAUGGUAAACAUGCAGAGAAGGA